UGGGGAAUAUUGCACAAUGGGCGCAAGCCUGAUGCAGCCAUGCCGCGUGUGUGAAGAAGGCCUUCGGGUUGUAAGGCACUUUCAGCGAGGAGGAAGGGUAGUGUGUUAAUAGCACAUUGCAUUGACGUUACUCGCAGAAGAAGCACCGGCUAACUCCGUGCCAGCAGCCGCGGUAAUACGGAGGGUGCAAGCGUUAAUCGGAAUUACUGGGCGUAAAGCGCACGCAGGCGGUUUGUUAAGUCAGAUGUGAAAUCCCCGCGCUUAACGUGGGAACUGCAUUUGAAACUGGCAAGCUAGAGUCUUGUAGAGGGGGGUAGAAUUCCAGGUGUAGCGGUGAAAUGCGUAGAGAUCUGGAGGAAUACCGGUGGCGAAGGCGGCCCCCUGGACAAAGACUGACGCUCAGGUGCGAAAGCGUGGGGAGCAAACA
This 427-nucleotide ribosomal RNA is filed under the name uncultured bacterium. RNAcentral describes it as "partial 16S ribosomal RNA". It matches the Rfam family "Bacterial small subunit ribosomal RNA", at positions 355 to 774 of the family's 1533-position model. The record is from RNAcentral.